CUCUCGCCGGCGGGCCGGCUUUCUACGCGGGGGCAGCGAGGCUGGCUCAGCACCCCGGGCCUCCUCUUGCAACCCUCGGGAAUGGCCGGCCGCCCCACUGAAAGCGCUGGGGAACCGAGAGGUGUCUUAGAAAGCUGCAUGAGUGGCAGAACGGUGGCUACUAUGACAGAGAGGCCGCCGUGGGCGAAGAGGGAGGUAUCCUGUCCUGCCUCGUGCUAGCCGCUGGCUUCCUCAGUGGGCUCUCCCUGAAGGAGGAUUUCCGCUUCACCUAUGCUUUAGGAUUCCAUCUCCAGUCAGUGCCUGCAAGACGAUCCUCACGUGCGAAACUGAGGAGUCUGAGGCAGGGCAGCUGGAGUGGAGAUACCUGGCUUCUCUUCCUCCUGCUGUCCCACGGUUUUGUGGCCUUAAGCCUCUUCGCCAUGAGCGCUGCUUUUAGAUGAAAAGCAUCAAUCUCCUUAGCGAACGAGAACGUGUUCCACCUGAACCACAGUCCAUUGCCGCGGCGAUUUUCAUUUCAGUAUUCGUGGGAUGUGAGAUUACCAUGAAAGUAGCUUUUGUUGCCAUUUAUUUCCAUGUGCCUUUCAUGAAACGUGUUAUUAAUCACCUGUGGCUAUUCUACGUUAGUUUCUUACUAUCGUUCUGGACCUUUCAACUUCUGAAUUUUAAAAAGUUAUAUGCGUGUGUGUGUGUGUACACACACUCAUAUGUAUAUGUUUUCUCUUCUUAGCUGUAGUAACCUGGAGGCAUAAAAGUGAAAAGCAAAGUAUUAAAAGAUGUAUAUCAGUGUUUAUACACAAAUUUCAAAGUCACUUUGAUAGGUUUUUUUUUGGUUUUGGUUUUGGUUUUUUUUGAUCCGGAGUCUCGCUCUGUCGCCAGGCUCCAGUGCAGUGGCGCGAUCUCGGCUCACUUGCAACCUCUGCCUCCCAGGUUCAAGCGAUUCUCCUGCGUCAGCCUCCCGAGUAGCUGGAACUACAGGCGCGUGCCACGACACCCAGCUAAUUUUUGUAUUAUUAGUAGAGACGGGGUUUCACCAUGUUGGCCAGGAUAGUCUCGAUCAAGAUCUUGACCUCGUGACCCGCCCGCCUUGGCCUCCCAAAGUGCUGGGAUUACAGGUGUGAGCCACCGUGCCUGGCCGAUUAUGAGUUUUUUAUUGUUCCGUUGGAACAUGAAAUUACCCAUCCUCUGAAGAUUCACGUGCUUAUGUAUUUCAUUUUAAAUAAUGGGGCCUAAAAGUAGAUGAUGGAUGGAAUUGAAGUGGGUAAAAUAAAUUAAUGGCUUUUUUGCUUUUGUUUUUGUUUUUAGUAUGUGUAUUGCUGGUAUUUUUGACAGUAAUUAAAAAUUUAAGCCAGGUCAUGAACUCAUUCCCUAUCAUUGUCACCUUAGAUCCUGGUGGCCAACGGGUUGUUAACUAGUUUGAAAUGAGAGAUAAAGAUAAGAAAGUAUGUCCAAGAGAAUGAUUUCCGUUAUCUCAAACUAAACAUGAAGAGCAAAUAGUUGGUUAUAUUGUUAUCUUCCUAACCUAUCUCUAUUCUCUGCAACACACUCUAAAUGAUUAGAAAAUAUCUUGAGCUUAUCGUCUGUCUUACAUCUAUCUUAGACGUAAGGUCUAAACCUGCCCACUAACAGGUUGUGACCCUAAACAAAUUUGGGCCUUUUCCUUCAUCCUUUAAAUAAGAUGGUAGACUAAAUAAGUACCUUUUAAGUAUAGUGGUAGACUAAAUAAGCACUCCUUUAAUUAGAAUAUUCUGUAAUUAUUCAUGGAAGAAAACUGGCACUUUAUUUCACAAAUCAAUAAUAAGAGGACAAGAGACUAACUUUCUGCAUUCAUAAAAGGGGUGAUGGUUAAAUUCAUUAAAAUUUAAGUGGGAAGGGUGGAUAUGAAUUAAAUUUUCUAAAGCAGCAGUCCCCAACAUUUUUGGCACCAGGGAUCUGUUUUGUGGAAGACAAUUUUUCCAUGGAUGGAGAUGGGGAGGGUUGAUGGUUUCGGGAUGAAGCUGUUCUAGAAAACUGCAGAUCAUAAGGUAUUAGAUUCUGAUAAGAAGCCACAACCUAAAUCCCACGCAUCCGCAGUUCACAAUAGGGUUCAUGCUCCUAUGACAAUCUAAUGCAGCCACUGAUCUGACAGGAGGCGGAGCUCAGGCAGUAAUGGUUACUGCCUGCUGUGUGGCCUGGUUCCUAAUAGGCCACAGAUGGGUACCUGUCCAUGGCCCAGAGUUUGGGGACCCCUGUUCUAAAGUAUAUGGAGGUUUAUUAACAUUCAUUAUGUUUUACUGACUGUAAGUAUUAAAAUUCCUAAAAAAUAAUAAUGGAACUAAAUUAUAAUGCUUGUCUUUCAACCGUUUUUCUUAAGUGUAUUCAUCUUUCUCAAAUUCAGCAACCUUUUACAAACCUUACAAAGGAAAAACGCAGUGACUUUACUGUCUAGAGUGAACUUUUACUGAUGGUUAUUGAAUGAAUAUUAUAAUAUGUACACACUAUUACUCUUGUUACAGUGUGACAUUCUUCAGAAUUCAUCCUGGAAUCAAUAUUAUGCCAAAGAAAAUUUUCUGAAAGGUAGGAGAGAGUGCCAUUUUCCAAAUAUUGAUAAAUGUCUCAGGAAACAUGGGACAUGGGGUGUGGUGUGGGUUGGGGUGGGAAUUUGUAUGUAAAUAAUUAGAAGUGCCCAGGGAGUUAUUCUUUCCAUUCUUAGGGUUUUCAUCAUGAAAACUACAAGAGUUGCCAUUAACCAUCCAAGACAACAUAAAAAAAAUAGGUUAACAUGUGGCUUUCAUUACAAUUAUCAUGGAAUGAAACUUUAUAUUUCAGUAGAAAUGAAGUUAUUAUUAUUAUUAUUAUUUUUUGAGACAGUCUUGCUGUGUCAGCCAGGCUGGAAUGCAGUGGCACCAUCUCAGUUCACUGCAACUUCUGUCUCCUGGGCUCAAGUAAUUCUCCUGCCUCAGCCUCCCGAGUAGCUGGGAUUACAGGUGUGUGCCACUAUGCCUUGCUAAUUUUCGUAUUUUUAGUAGAGAUGGGAUUUCACCAUGUUGGCCAGCCUGGUCUUGAACUCCUGACCUCAGGUAAUCCACCUGCCUCGGCCUCCCAAAGUGCUGGGAUUACAGGCGUGAGCCACUGUGACCGGCCUGAAGUUAGUUUUUUCCUAGUACUGGUAUAUUUACACUUAGCCCACCAGUUAACUCUUAGUUUUUCUGUGGUUAAUCACAAUUUCUUUUUUUUCUUUUUUUUUUUUUUUUUUUUUGAGACGGAGUCUCUCUCUGUUACCCAGGCCGGACUGCCGUGGCACUAUCUCGGCUCACUGCAAGCUCCGCCUUCCGGGUUCACACCAUUCUCCUGCCUCAGCCUCCAGAGUAGCUGUGACUACAGGCGCCCGCCACCAUGCCUGGCUAAUUUUUUGUAUUUUUAAUAGAGACGGGGUUUCACUAUGUUAGCCAAGAUGGUCUCGAUCUCCUGACCUUGUGAUCCACCUGCCUGAACCUCCCAAAGUGCUGGGAUUACAGGCAUGAGCCACCGCGCCUGGCCCACAAUUUCAGUAUAAGCAAGGCCAAAUCUCAUUGGGCUUUUCUGGGUCCAGACUCUCCUCUAUGUCUUUUCCUACAUGUGCAUACCUAUGAUAAAGUUUAAUUAUAUAGUAGUCACCGUAAGAGAUUGACAGAAAUAACUGAUAAUAAAAUAGUACAAUUAUAACAAUUUACUGUAAUAAAAGUUAUGUUAAUGUGGGCUCUGUCUCUCAAAAUAUCUUAUUGUAUUGUACUCACCUAUUUUCAGACCAGAAUUAGUUACAGCAAUUCUAGGGGAAAAAAUACAAAGCCUAAUUCAGCCAAUUUAAAGUUCUUCUUGACCAUAAUCUAUCUUUCUUUGGGGAAAAAAUACAUUUAAAGCAACCAAAGCUUCAUCCUCACCAUUUUUUAAAUGGUAAAAUACACAUUCAUAAAAUUUACCAUUUUAGCCAUUUAAAAGUGUACAAUUCAGUAGCAUGAAGUACACAGUAGCCCUCCCUUAUCUGCAGUUUUGCUUUUCUUGGCUUCAGUUACUCUAUUUCCCUGAAGCCCACGAUUGGAAACCCAGAUGUCUGAUGACAUGCUUGGUUGCAAGCAACUGAUCCUAGUUGAAGCCAAAAGAAAUUCAUUGGCUUAUGCAGCUAACAAGUCUGGACUUGUGUAGCUUCAGGGUUGGCUAGAUUCAGAGUCUGAAACUAUGUCAUUAGGAUGUCACUUUGAGCUAUGCUUUCUUCUUUGUUAACUUCAUUCUCACCUUGGCUCUUCCUACAUUGCAAAAAGAUGGCAUUGGCUUCUCUAGGCUGUGUGUGUGUGUGUGUGUGUGUGUGUGUGUGUACACACACAAAUAUAUAUUCAUAUGUUUUUAAGAGAAACAUAGUCUCUCUGUGUUGGCCAAGCUGGUCUCAAACUCCUCACCUCAAGAUAUCCUCCUGCUUCAGCCUCCCAAGUAACUGUGAUUACAGAUACGAGCCACAGCAUCUGGCUCUAGGGUAUAAUUUAGAUCAGUACCCCAUUAUAGUAAAUAUUUAGUAUAUUUAAAAUUUUUUAAUCUGGAAAUUUGAAUAUAGGUAACCUACUGUAUUAGUCUGUUUUCAUGCUGCUGAUAAAGAGAUACCUGAGACUGGGCAAUUUACAAAGGAAGGAGGUUUAGUAGAGAACUCACAGUUCUACGUGGCUGGGGAUGCCUCACAAUCAUGGCGGAAGGCAAGGAGGAGCAAGUCACAUCUUACGUGGAUGGCAGCAGGCAAAGAGGGAAUGAGGAAGACACAAAAGCAGAAGCCUCUGAUAAAACCAUCAGAUCCCAUGAGACUUACUCACUACCAUGAGAACAGUAUGAGGGAAACCACCCUCAUGAUUCAGCUAUCUCCCCCCCGUGUUCUUGCCACAACACCUGGGAAUUAUGGGAGUACAAUUCAAGAUGAGAUUUGGAUGGGGACACAGAGCCAAACCAUAUCACCUACAUAAGCAAAAGCUCCAUAAAAUCCUCAAUUUUUACGAAUGUAAAGGAUCCCAAGAACCAAAACUGAGAAUCAUAGAUUUACAUCAUGUGCCAAUCUGCAAAGCACUUAUAAGACAAAUUACAAACUCCUCUUUCUCCAUUAUACUAUAGAGGUUAUACUUUCCUGAGGGCUCCAGUUUAUAUACCUUUAAUUCUGCCUAUAUAGUCACAUAUUAAUAUUCAGAAGGUAGAGAAGUUCUUCCUAGGUAUGUACUGACAAUUUACAAAUGUACGAAGUUUCCAUUUAUUUAUGUGGC
Molecule: long non-coding RNA, 5249 nt
Filed under: Homo sapiens (human)
Lineage: Eukaryota; Metazoa; Chordata; Mammalia; Primates; Hominidae
Description: non-protein coding lnc-ATP6V1D-8:7
Source: RNAcentral